UUGGGAUACUACUGGAACGGUAGCUAAUACCGCAUAACGUCGCAAGACCAAAGAGGGGGACCUUCGGGCCCCUUGCCAUCGGAUGUGCCCAGAUGGGAUUAGCUAGUAGGUGGGGUAACGGCUCACCUAGGCGACGAUCCCUAGCUGGUCUGAGAGGAUGACCAGCCACACUGGAACUGAGACACGGGUCCAGACUCCUACGGGAGGCAGCAGUGGGGAAUAUUGCACAAUGGGCGCAAGCCUGAUGCAGCCAUGCCGCGUGUAUGGAGAAGGCCUUCGGGUUGUAAAGUACUUUCAGCGGGGAGGAAGGUGUUGAGGUUAAUAACCUCAGCAAUUGACGUUACCCGCAGAAGAAGCACCGGCUAACUCCGUGCCAGCAGCCGCGGUAAUACGGAGGGUGCAAGCGUUAAUCGGAAUUACUGGGCGUAAAGCGCACGCAGGCGGUCUGUCAAGUCGGAUGUGAAAUCCCCGGGCUCAACCUGGGAACUGCAUUCGAAACUGGCAGGCUAGAGUCUUGUAGAGGGGGGUAGAAUUCCAGGUGUAGCCGGUGAAAUGCGUAGAGAUCUGGAGGAAUACCGGUGGGCGAGGCCGGCCCCCUGGACAAAAGACUGACGCUUCAGGUGCGAAAGCGUGGGGGAGCAAAUCACU
This 648-nucleotide ribosomal RNA is filed under the name uncultured bacterium. Its description in RNAcentral is "bacterial SSU rRNA". It matches the Rfam family "Bacterial small subunit ribosomal RNA", at positions 138 to 777 of the family's 1533-position model. The record is from RNAcentral.